GCAUAUCAAUAAGCGGAGGAAAAAGAAACCAACAGGGAUUGCCUCAGUAACGGCGAGUGAAGCGGCAACAGCUCAAAUUUGAAAUCUGGCCCUUUCAGGGUCCGAGUUGUAAUUUGGAGAAGAUGCUUCGGGUGCGGCGCCGGUCUAAGUUCCUUGGAACAGGACGUCACAGAGGGUGAGAAUCCCGUACGUGCCCGGUGGUCGCCCCCAUGUGAAGCUCUUUCGACGAGUCGAGUUGUUUGGGAAUGCAGCUCAAAAUGGGUGGUAAAUUUCAUCUAAAGCUAAAUAUUGGCCAGAGACCGAUAGCGCACAAGUAGAGUGAUCGAAAGAUGAAAAGCACUUUGGAAAGAGAGUUAAACAGUACGUGAAAUUGUUGAAAGGGAAGCGCUUGCAACCAGACUUGCGCGCGGCCGAUCAUCUGGUGUUCGCACCAGUGCACUCGACCGCGCGCAGGCCAGCAUCGGUUUAGGUGGCUGGAUAAAGGCCUCGGGAAUGUGGCUCCCCUCGGGGAGUGUUAUAGCCCGAGGUGCAAUGCAGCCUACCUGGACCGAGGACCGCGCUUCGGCUAGGAUGCUGGCGUAAUGGUUGCAAGCGACCCGUCUUGAAACACGGACCAAGGAGUCUAACAUCUAUGCGAGUGUUUGGGUGUCAAACCCAUACGCGUAAUGAAAGUGAACGGAGGUGAGAACCCUUAAGGGUGCAUCAUCGACCGAUCCUGAUGUCUUCGGAUGGAUUUGAGUAAGAGCAUAGCUGUUGGGACCCGAAAGAUGGUGAACUAUGCCUGAAUAGGGUGAAGCCAGAGGAAACUCUGGUGGAGGCUCGCAGCGGUUCUGACGUGCAAAUCGAUCGUCAAAUUUGGGCAUAGGGGGCGAAAGACUAAUCGAACCAUCUAGUAGCUGGGUUCCUGCCGAAGACUUUUGCGCGACUUCUUUUCCGCUAUAUGAGGAGUG
This 950-nucleotide ribosomal RNA is filed under the name Oidiodendron tenuissimum. RNAcentral describes it as "LSU rRNA". It matches the Rfam family "Eukaryotic large subunit ribosomal RNA", at positions 38 to 1015 of the family's 3401-position model. The record is from RNAcentral. Lineage: Eukaryota; Fungi; Ascomycota; Leotiomycetes; Myxotrichaceae.